GACGAACGCUGGCGGCGUGCUUAACACAUGCAAGUCGAACGGAAAGGCCCUGCUUUUGUGGGGUGCUCGAGUGGCGAACGGGUGAGUAACACGUGAGUAACCUGCCCUUGACUUUGGGAUAACUUCAGGAAACUGGGGCUAAUACCGGAUAGGAGCUCCUGCUGCAUGGUGGGGGUUGGAAAGUUUCGGCGGUUGGGGAUGGACUCGCGGCUUAUCAGCUUGUUGGUGGGGUAGUGGCUUACCAAGGCUUUGACGGGUAGCCGGGCUGAGAGGGUGACCGGCCACGUUGGGACUGAGAUACGGCCCAGCCUCCUACGGGACGCAGCAGUGGGGAAUAUUGCACAGUGGGCGGGAGCCUGGUGCAGCAACGCCGCGUGCGGGAUGACGGCCUUCGGGUUGUAAACCGCUUCCGCCUGUGACGAGGCGUGAGUGACGGUAAUGGGUAAAGAAGCACCGGCUAACUACGUG
Molecule: ribosomal RNA, 468 nt
Filed under: uncultured bacterium
Lineage: Bacteria
Description: partial 16S ribosomal RNA
Rfam family: Bacterial small subunit ribosomal RNA
Source: RNAcentral